RNAcentral lists this unclassified non-coding RNA (230 nucleotides) under plant metagenome. Its description in RNAcentral is "partial contains small subunit ribosomal RNA and internal transcribed spacer 1". The record is from RNAcentral.
AAGUCGUAACAAGGUCUCCGUUGGUGAACCAGCGGGAGGAUACAUUAAGAGUCAGUAACAACUCCCAACCCAUGUGAAUUUACCUACGUUGCCUCGGCUGGUCCUACCCUGUAGUUACCCUGUAGCGAGUUACCCUGUAACGACCUGCCCUGUACCUACUCUGUAGCCCGCCGGUGGACUUACAAACUCUGUUUUAAUGGAAAUCUGAGCGUAUUAUUUAAUAAAUAAAA